RNAcentral lists this ribosomal RNA (253 nucleotides) under uncultured bacterium. RNAcentral describes it as "partial 16S ribosomal RNA". It matches the Rfam family "Bacterial small subunit ribosomal RNA", at positions 524 to 776 of the family's 1533-position model. The record is from RNAcentral.
UACGUAGGGUCCGAGCGUUGUCCGGAGUUACUGGGCGUAAAGCGCGCGCAGGCGGCCCGCGAGGUGUCACGUGAAAGCCCCGGGCUCAACUCGGGAGGGUCGUGGCAAACCGGCGGGCUUGAGGCCGGUAGAGGUGGGUGGAACUCCUGGUGGAGUGGUGAAAUGCGUAGAGAUCAGGAAGAACACCCGUGGCGAAGGCGGCCCACUGGGCCGGUACCGACGCUGAGGCGCGAAGGCGUGGGGAGCGAACGGG